Molecule: transfer RNA, 87 nt
Filed under: Rhodospirillaceae bacterium
Lineage: Bacteria; Pseudomonadati; Pseudomonadota; Alphaproteobacteria; Rhodospirillales; Rhodospirillaceae
Also listed under: 6 other names
Description: tRNA-Leu
Rfam family: tRNA
About the family: Transfer RNA (tRNA) molecules are approximately 80 nucleotides in length. Their secondary structure includes four short double-helical elements and three loops (D, anti-codon, and T loops).
Source: RNAcentral
GCGAGUGUGGCGGAAUUGGUAGACGCAGUGGAUUCAAAAUCCACCGCCCGCAAGGGCUUGGGGGUUCGAGUCCCCCCACUCGUACCA